AGGUAUUGGAACGGUCAGCUGAAGGAUACAUGAUGGUGUAGUGAGGAGAUUGGGGGAGAUCUGAUACAUAUCUGAUUUCAGACAGAAUCUUAUCUCACUGAGCAGACUGGAUUCGAGAGGCUACAAAAUGGUAGCUGAUGGAGGAAUCCUAAAGGUGUUGCACGGUGAUAGGAUUAUUCUGGAGGGAAAGAAGAGGAUGAGAGCAUAUUACUACCUGGUGGAGAGCCCAAUGCGAGGUGGAGCUUCAGGAGUCAGGAGGAGCCCAGAGUGAGGUGAAGCUCUAGGUAGAGGUGGAUCGGGCACUAGAC
This 308-nucleotide long non-coding RNA is filed under the name Elaeis guineensis (African oil palm). RNAcentral describes it as "long non-coding RNA (EGUI_LNC079286)". The record is from RNAcentral. Lineage: Eukaryota; Viridiplantae; Streptophyta; Magnoliopsida; Arecales; Arecaceae.